Molecule: ribosomal RNA, 465 nt
Filed under: uncultured bacterium
Lineage: Bacteria
Description: partial 16S ribosomal RNA
Rfam family: Bacterial small subunit ribosomal RNA
Source: RNAcentral
GACGAACGCUGGCGGCGUGCUUAACACAUGCCAGUCGAGCGAGGCCCCUCCUUCGGGAGGGUGUCCUAGCGGCGAACGGGUGAGUAACACGUGGGCAACCUGCCCUCAGCUCUGGGAUAACUCCGGGAAACCGGGGCUAAUACCGGAUACGACCUCCACGGGCAUCUGCGGAGGUGGAAAGUUUUUCGGCUGAGGAUGGGCCCGCGGCCUAUCAGCUAGUUGGUGGGGUAGUGGCCCACCAAGGCGACGACGGGUAGCCGGCCUGAGAGGGCGACCGGCCACACUGGGACUGAGACACGGCCCAGACUCCUACGGGAGGCAGCAGUGGGGAAUAUUGCGCAAUGGGCGAAAGCCUGACGCAGCGACGCCGCGUGAGGGAAGAAGGCCUUCGGGUUGUAAACCUCUUUCAGCAGGGACGAAGCGAAAGUGACGGUACCUGCAGAAGAAGCACCGGCCAACUACGUG